CUAUUAAUAUUAAUCUAGUCCUAGACUCCUAGUCGACCUAGUUAUUAAAACUGUCUACUGACUACUUUAGAAA
Non-coding RNA from Biomphalaria pfeifferi, 73 nucleotides. Lineage: Eukaryota; Metazoa; Mollusca; Gastropoda; Planorbidae. The record is from the annotation of a GenBank genome assembly.